GGGAUCGAAGAUGAUUAGAUACCAUCGUAGUCUUAACCGUAAACUAUGCCGACUUGCGAUUGUCCGAUGUUUAUUAUAGACUUGGGCAGCAGCACAUGAGAAAUCAAAGUUUUUGGGUUCCGGGGGGAGUAUGGUCGCAAGGCUGAAACUUAAAGGAAUUGACGGAAGGGCACACCAGGAGUGGAGCCUGCGGCUUAAUUUGACUCAACACGGGAAAACUUACCAGGUCCAGACAUAGGAAGGAUUGACAGAUUGAGAGCUCUUUCUUGAUUCUAUGGGUGGUGGUGCAUAGCCGUUCUUAGUUGGUGGAGUGAUUUGUCUGGUUAAUUGCGUUAACGAACGAGACCUCAGCCUACUAAAUAGUAUGUUGUUUAGUAAUAAAUGAUAUGACUUCUUAGAGGGACAUUUCGGGUUUACCGGAAGGAAGUUCGUG
This 433-nucleotide ribosomal RNA is filed under the name Thraustochytriidae sp. RNAcentral describes it as "SSU rRNA". It matches the Rfam family "Eukaryotic small subunit ribosomal RNA", at positions 994 to 1449 of the family's 1831-position model. The record is from RNAcentral. Lineage: Eukaryota; Bigyra; Thraustochytrida; Thraustochytriidae.